UGUGUUCCAACUUCCCGAGCAUCCACGACACCUAAAUCUCGAGUCCGCCCCUCCCUCCUCAAGGUAAUGAUAAAAUCUGCGUACACUACAAAUACCACUCUCUACCUCCUCUCUAUCUACUAUCUCAACACUAUAAAUACCACCAUCCAAUCACAAAUCUUUGCACUCACCAUUUCACAAGCAAAACCAAUUCUUUAAAUCAAGAAUACAUUUUUUUUUUGCUACAAUGGCUUCCAACAAGGUUUUCUCCACUCUUGCUCUUUUCCUUACCCUUAACUUAAUUUUCUUCACAUUUGUUACAAGUUGUGGCACUUGUCCUAAACCAAAACCACCCCCAAAACCAAAGNNNNN
Molecule: long non-coding RNA, 351 nt
Filed under: Capsicum annuum
Lineage: Eukaryota; Viridiplantae; Streptophyta; Magnoliopsida; Solanales; Solanaceae
Description: long non-coding RNA (CANN_LNC021136)
Source: RNAcentral